RNAcentral lists this ribosomal RNA (461 nucleotides) under uncultured bacterium. Its description in RNAcentral is "partial 16S ribosomal RNA". It matches the Rfam family "Bacterial small subunit ribosomal RNA", at positions 338 to 795 of the family's 1533-position model. The record is from RNAcentral.
CCUACGGGAGGCUGCAGUGAGGAAUAUUGGUCAAUGGGCUUACGCCUGAACCAGCCAAGUCGCGUGAGGGAAGACUGCCCUAUGGGUUGUAAACCUCUUUUGUCAGGGAGCAACGCCGGCCACGUGAAGCCGGACUGAGCGUACCUGAAGAAAAAGCAUCGGCUAACUCCGUGCCAGCAGCCGCGGUAAUACGGAAGGUCCGGGCGUUAUCCGGAUUUAUUGGGGUUAAAGGGUGCGUCGGCCGGCUUUUAAGUCAGCUGUGAACGUCCGCGGCUCAACCGUGGAAUUGCAGUUGAAACUGGAGGCCUUGAGUGCACACAGGGAUGCCGGAAUGCAUGGUGUAGCGGUGAAAUGCUUAGAUAUCAUGAAGAACUCCGAUCGCGAAGGCGAGUGUCCGGGGGGCAACUGACGCUGAGGCUCGAAAGUGCGGGUAUCGAACAGGAUUAGAUACCCGAGUAGUC